CCUACGGGGAGCAGCAGUGGGGAAUAUUGGACAAUGGGCGAAAGCCUGAUCCAGCCAUGCCGCGUGUGUGAAGAAGGCCUUCGGGUUGUAAAGCACUUUCAGUGGGGAAGAAAGCCUUGGGGCUAAUACCCUCGAGGAAGGACAUCACCCACAGAAGAAGCACCGGCUAACUCCGUGCCAGCAGCCGCGGUAAUACGGAGGGUGCGAGCGUUAAUCGGAAUUACUGGGCGUAAAGCGCGCGUAGGCGGUCUGAUAAGCCGGUUGUGAAUGCCCCGGGCUCAACCUGGGAACGGCAUCCGGAACUGUCAGGCUAGAGUGCAGGAGAGGAAGGUAGAAUUCCCGGUGUAGCGGUGAAAUGCGUAGAGAUCGGGAGGAAUACCAGUGGCGAAGGCGGCCUUCUGGACUGACACUGACGCUGAGGUGCGAAAGCGUGGGUAGCAAACAGGAUUAGAUACCCUUGUAGUC
This 465-nucleotide ribosomal RNA is filed under the name Vreelandella stevensii. Its description in RNAcentral is "partial 16S ribosomal RNA". It matches the Rfam family "Bacterial small subunit ribosomal RNA", at positions 338 to 795 of the family's 1533-position model. The record is from RNAcentral. Lineage: Bacteria; Pseudomonadati; Pseudomonadota; Gammaproteobacteria; Oceanospirillales; Halomonadaceae.